GAUGAACGCUGGCGGCGUGCCUAAUACAUGCAAGUCGAGCGAACAGACGAGGAGCUUGCUCCUCUGACGUUAGCGGCGGACGGGUGAGUAACACGUGGAUAACCUACCUAUAAGACUGGGAUAACUUCGGGAAACCGGAGCUAAUACCGGAUAAUAUAUUGAACCGCAUGGUGCAAUAGUGAAAGACGGUUUUGCUGUCACUUAUAGAUGGAUCCGCGCCGCAUUAGCUAGUUGGUAAGGUAACGGCUUACCAAGGCAACGACGCGUAGCCGACCUGAGAGGGUGGUCGGCCACCCUGGAACUGAGGCACGGUCCCGACUCCUACGGGAGGCAGCAGUAGGGAAUCUUCCGCAAUGGGCGAAAGCUUGACGGAGCAACGCCGCGUGAGUGAUGAAGGUCUUCGGCUCGUAAAACUCUGUUAUUAGGGAAGAACAAAUGUGUAAGUAACUAUGCACGUCUUGACGGUACCUAAUCAGAAAGCCACGGCUAACUACGUG
RNAcentral lists this ribosomal RNA (497 nucleotides) under uncultured bacterium. RNAcentral's name for it is "partial 16S ribosomal RNA". It matches the Rfam family "Bacterial small subunit ribosomal RNA", at positions 28 to 507 of the family's 1533-position model. The record is from RNAcentral.